This 309-nucleotide long non-coding RNA is filed under the name Phaseolus vulgaris (common bean). RNAcentral describes it as "long non-coding RNA (PVUL_LNC003098)". The record is from RNAcentral. Lineage: Eukaryota; Viridiplantae; Streptophyta; Magnoliopsida; Fabales; Fabaceae.
UUAAUAUUCCUCUUCUGAAAUCGAAAUCAUUUCCCCCUUUCCUUAUUUCUCUUUCGAUUCACAAAUGGAAGGGUUUGGGAAAUGAUAGUCACCGAGUGACUUUAGGGGAGGAGUGUGGAGAAAGAGUUGGAAAGAAUGCUCUAUGUGAGGAGGGGUGGGAGGGUUUGCGGUAAUGAGAGUGAGAAGAUUUAGGGUUUAGUGAAAGGGUUCGAAAGACUGCUCUUUGUGAGGUGUGAAUGGGUCAGCUUUCCAAAGAGGUAAAAGUGAGGUUUUCAAAGGGAUCAAAAGAAAAAAAAAAUUGAAAAAAAA